RNAcentral lists this ribosomal RNA (497 nucleotides) under uncultured bacterium. RNAcentral's name for it is "partial 16S ribosomal RNA". It matches the Rfam family "Bacterial small subunit ribosomal RNA", at positions 28 to 507 of the family's 1533-position model. The record is from RNAcentral.
GAUGAACGCUGGCGGCGUGCCUAAUACAUGCAAGUCGAGCGAGCAGACGAGGAGCUUGCUCCUCUGACGUUAGCGGCGGACGGGUGAGUAACACGUGGAUAACCUACCUAUAAGACUGGGAUAACUUCGGGAAACCGGAGCUAAUACCGGAUAAUAUAUUGAACCGCAUGGUUCAAUAGUGAAAGACGGUUUUGCUGUCACUUAUAGAUGGAUCCGCGCCGCAUUAGCUAGUUGGUAAGGUAACGGCUUACCAAGGCAACGAUGCGUAGCCGACCUGCGAGAGUGAUCGGCCACACUGGAACUGAGACGCGGUCCAGACUCCUACGGGAGGCAGCAGUAGGGAAUCUUCCGCAAUGGGCGAAAGCCUGACGGAGCAACGCCGCGUGAGUGAUGAAGGUCUUCGGAUCGUAAAACUCUGUUAUGAGGGAAGAACAAAUGUGUAAGUAACUAUGCACGUCUUGACGGUACCUAAUCAGAAAGCCACGGCUAACUGCGUG